CCUACGGGUGGCAGCAGUGGGGAAUAUUGGACAAUGGGCGAAAGCCUGAUCCAGCCAUGCCGCGUGUGUGAAGAAGGCCUUCGGGUUGUAAAGCACUUUCAGUGGGGAAGAAAGCCUUGGGGCUAAUACCCUCGAGGAAGGACAUCACCCACAGAAGAAGCACCGGCUAACUCCGUGCCAGCAGCCGCGGUAAUACGGAGGGUGCGAGCGUUAAUCGGAAUUACUGGGCGUAAAGCGCGCGUAGGCGGUCUGAUAAGCCGGUUGUGAAAGCCCCGGGCUCAACCUGGGAACGGCAUCCGGAACUGUCAGGCUAGAGUGCAGGAGAGGAAGGUAGAAUUCCCGGUGUAGCGGUGAAAUGCGUAGAGAUCGGGAGGAAUACCAGUGGCGAAGGCGGCCUUCUGGACUGACACUGACGCUGCGGUGCGAAAGCGUGGGUAGCAAACAGGAUUAGAUACCCUGGUAGUC
This 465-nucleotide ribosomal RNA is filed under the name Vreelandella stevensii. RNAcentral describes it as "partial 16S ribosomal RNA". It matches the Rfam family "Bacterial small subunit ribosomal RNA", at positions 338 to 795 of the family's 1533-position model. Lineage: Bacteria; Pseudomonadati; Pseudomonadota; Gammaproteobacteria; Oceanospirillales; Halomonadaceae. The record is from RNAcentral.